CAUCCUGUUUAUGUACCUUCCACUCUUCUCUUUGAAUGGGAGGCUAUGCUAACGGGAUAGAAUAACACUGUCAUGGUCUGAGGGUGUGGCUAACUCACUGUGUACCCCACUAAAUAAAAUGACAGGACAUUUUAUA
Molecule: small nucleolar RNA, 136 nt
Organism: Notolabrus celidotus (New Zealand spotty)
Lineage: Eukaryota; Metazoa; Chordata; Actinopteri; Labriformes; Labridae
Product: small nucleolar RNA SNORA29
Exons: 1
Source: RefSeq, a predicted model, not a curated record